AAGGGCACCACAAGAACGCGUGGAGCAUGUGGCUUAAUUUGACUCAACGCGGGAAAACUUACCGGGUCCGGACACACUGAGGAUUGACAGGCGAUUAAAGUAAAGAUGCGAGUCCUUUCAUGAUUGUGUGAUAGGUGGUGCAUGGCCGUUCUUAGUUCGUGGAGUGAUCUGUCUGCUUAAUUGCGUUUCACUACUAUAAAGGGGACUGCGUACCGCGGUGUACUAUGUAUGCCAGUCGCAGUAAUUAUAUUCAAAAUCCCCAAAUGAAGGCAACGAACGUGACCUCAAACCGGAGGAAGGUUGCGGCAAUAACAGGUCUGUGAUGCCCUUAGAUGUUCCGGGCUGCACACGUGCUACAAUGACUGUCGCAGAAAGUAUCUCAUUUAUAUAUGUAUGCAUAUACAUAUCCAACCUACCUCGAAAGUUCGGUAGGCAAUCAAUUCCAAGUGGUAAUCUCUCUUUUUUGAUCUGCACAAACCCAGGCUAUGAUAUAAUGUAUGUUAUUGAUUAGCUGUGCUCUACUUAAUUCGUGGUAGGGACAGACCAUUGCUAAUUGUUGGUCUCGUCUCAACUAGGAAUGCCUUGUACGGGUCUUUGGUUCAACAAACCACCCGGAAUACGUCCCUGCCCUUUGUACACACCGCCCGUCGCUCUUACCGAUGGACUACUUUGUGAGUUGGAGGGACUGGCGCAGCACUCGUGGCUAUGCUAUGGAAACUCCAACGAACAGUGUGGUCUAAAGGAAAGAGAAGUCG
Molecule: ribosomal RNA, 755 nt
Filed under: Foraminifera sp.
Lineage: Eukaryota; Foraminifera
Description: SSU rRNA
Rfam family: Eukaryotic small subunit ribosomal RNA
Source: RNAcentral